RNAcentral lists this ribosomal RNA (253 nucleotides) under uncultured bacterium. Its description in RNAcentral is "partial 16S ribosomal RNA". It matches the Rfam family "Bacterial small subunit ribosomal RNA", at positions 524 to 776 of the family's 1533-position model. The record is from RNAcentral.
UACGUAGGGUGCGAGCGUUAAUCGGAAUUACUGGGCGUAAAGUGUGCGCAGGCGGCCGAGCAAGUCGAGUGUGAAAGCCCCGAGCUUAACUUGGGAACUGCGCUCGAAACUACUUGGCUAGAGUGUGGCAGAGGGAGGUGGAAUUCCACGUGUAGCGGUGAAAUGCGUAGAGAUGUGGAGGAACACCGAUGGCGAAGGCAGCCUCCUGGGCCAACACUGACGCUGAGGAGCGAAAGCCAGGGGAGCGAAUGGG